This 433-nucleotide ribosomal RNA is filed under the name uncultured bacterium. RNAcentral describes it as "partial 16S ribosomal RNA". It matches the Rfam family "Bacterial small subunit ribosomal RNA", at positions 29 to 507 of the family's 1533-position model. The record is from RNAcentral.
AACGAACGCUGGCGGCAUGCCUAACACAUGCAAGUCGAACGAGACCUUCGGGUCUAGUUGCGCACGGGUGCGUAACGCGGGGGAACCUGCCCUUAGGUUCGGAAUAACUGCCUGAAAGGGGUGUUAAUACCGCAUAAUGUCAUCGGACCAAAGAGUUAUCGCUUUUGGAUGGGGCCGCGUUGGAUUAGGUAGUUGGUAGGGUAAAAGCGUAUCAAGGCGACGUUCCAUAGCUGGUCUGAGAGGAUGAUCAGCCACACUGGCACUGAGACACGGCCCAGACUGGUACGGGAGGCAGCAGUGGGGUAUAUUGGACAAUGGGCGAAAGCCUGAUCCAGCAGUGCCGCGUAAGUGGUGAAGGCCUUAGGGUUGUAAAGCUCUUUUUGCCGGGAUGAUAAUGACAGUACCGGGAGAAUAAGCUCCGGCUAACUCCGUG